This 100-nucleotide small nuclear RNA is filed under the name Erinaceus europaeus (western European hedgehog). The record is from RNAcentral. Lineage: Eukaryota; Metazoa; Chordata; Mammalia; Eulipotyphla; Erinaceidae.
CUUUUCCCUGUAGCAGAUACACUAAAAUUGGAAGGAUGCAGAAAUGAGCAUGGACCUUGUACAGAAUGAGAGGCACGUCUGUGAAGCGGGCCAUAUUUCU